Molecule: ribosomal RNA, 515 nt
Filed under: uncultured bacterium
Lineage: Bacteria
Description: bacterial SSU rRNA
Rfam family: Bacterial small subunit ribosomal RNA
Source: RNAcentral
AGUUGAUCAUGGCUCAGGAUGAACGCUAGCGGCAGGCUUAACACAUGCAAGUCGAGGGGCAGCGGGAUGUAGCAAUACAUUGCCGGCGACCGGCGGAUGGGUGCGUAACGCGUAUGCAACCUACCUUAUACAGGGGAAUAACCUUUCGAAAGGGAGACUAACACCCCAUAGUAUUGAUUUAAGGCAUCUUAGAUUAAUUAAAUAUUUAUAGGUAUAAGAUGGGCAUGCGUAUGAUUAGCUAGUUGGUAAGGUAACGGCUUACCAAGGCGACGAUCAUUAGGGGUUCUGAGAGGAAGGUCCCCCACACUGGUACUGAGACACGGACCAGACUCCUACGGGAGGCAGCAGUGAGGAAUAUUGGUCAAUGGGCGCAAGCCUGAACCAGCCAUGCCGCGUGCAGGAAAGACGGCCUUAUGGGUUGUAAACUGCUUUUACAUAAGACUAACCGUAUAUUUGCGAAUAUACCUGAAUGUAUUAUGAGAAUAAGGAUCGGCUAACUCCGUGCCAGCCGCAGC